GCUGCUAUAGCUCAGUUGGUAGAGCGCAUCCUUGGUAAGGAUGAGGUCAGCAGUUCAAAUCUGCUUAGCAGCU
This is a transfer RNA of Subdoligranulum variabile DSM 15176, 73 nucleotides long. It matches the Rfam family "tRNA". Rfam says of the family: Transfer RNA (tRNA) molecules are approximately 80 nucleotides in length. Their secondary structure includes four short double-helical elements and three loops (D, anti-codon, and T loops). NCBI's taxonomy places the organism in Bacteria, Bacillati, Bacillota, Clostridia, Eubacteriales, Oscillospiraceae. The record is from Rfam.